AUUGAACGCUGGCGGAAUGCUUUACACAUGCAAGUCGAACGGCAGCACGGGUGCUUGCACCUGGUGGCGAGUGGCGAACGGGUGAGUAAUACAUCGGAAAGUACCCUGACGUGGGGGAUAACGUAGCGAAAGUUACGCUAAUACCGCAUACGUCGUGAGGGAGCAAGCAGGGGAUCGGAAGACCUGGCGCGUCAGGAGCGGACGAUGGCGGAUUAGAUAGUCGGUAGGGUAAAGGCCUCCCAAGGCGACGAUCCGUAGCGGGUCUGAGAGGAGGACCCGCAACACUGGAACUGAGACACGGUCCAGACUCCUACGGGAGGCAGCAGUGGGGAAUUUUGGACAAUUGGCGAAAGCCUGAUCCAGCCAUUCCGCGUGAGUGAAGAAGGCUUUCGGGUUGUAAAGCUCUUUCGGCAGGGAAGAAACGGUUUUGCAUAAUACCCAGAACUAAUGACGGUACCUGAAGAAGAAGCACCGGCUAACUACGUGCCAGCCGCCGCAGUAA
RNAcentral lists this ribosomal RNA (502 nucleotides) under uncultured bacterium. RNAcentral's name for it is "partial 16S ribosomal RNA". It matches the Rfam family "Bacterial small subunit ribosomal RNA", at positions 29 to 523 of the family's 1533-position model. The record is from RNAcentral.